CAAGUAAUUAAGUGCAUGUGGUGGAUGCCUUGGCAGUCAGAGGCGAUGAAAGACGUGAUAGCCUGCGAAAAGCUCCGGGGAGGCGGCAAAUAUCCUUUGAUCCGGAGAUGUCUGAAUGGGGGAACCCACCUACUUUAAGGUAGGUAUUGCAACAUGAAUACAUAGUGUUGCAAGGCGAACGAGGGGAAGUGAAACAUCUCAGUACCCUUAGGAAAAGAAAUCAAUUGAGAUUCCCUCAGUAGCGGCGAGCGAACGGGGAUCAGCCCAUUAAGUUAUGUGUGUUUUAGUGGAACGCUCUGGGAAGUGCGAACGUAGAGGGUGAUAUUCCCGUACACGAAAGGGCACACAUAAUGAUGACGAGUAGGGCGAGGCACGUGAAACCUUGUCUGAAUAUGGGGGGACCAUCCUCCAAGGCUAAAUACUCCUGACUGACCGAUAGUGAACCAGUACCGUGAGGGAAAGGCGAAAAGAACCCCUGUGAGGGGAGUGAAAUAGAUCCUGAAACCGCAUGCAUACAAGCAGUGGGAGCACCUUCGUGGUGUGACUGCGUACCUUUUGUAUAAUGGGUCAGCGACUUAUAUUCAGUAGCGAGGUUAACCGUAUAGGGGAGCCGUAGAGAAAUCGAGUCUUAAUAGGGCGUUUAGUUGCUGGGUAUAGACCCGAAACCAGGCGAUCUAUCCAUGAGCAGGUUGAAGGUUGGGUAACACUAACUGGAGGACCGAACCCACUGUCGUUGAAAAGCCAGGGGAUGACUUGUGGAUAGGGGUGAAAGGCUAAUCAAGCCUGGUGAUAGCUGGUUCUCCCCGAAAGCUAUUUAGGUAGCGCCUCGGACGAAUACCAUAGGGGGUAGAGCACUGUUUCGGCUAGGGGGUCAUCCCGACUUACCAAACCGAUGCAAACUCCGAAUACCUAUGAGUACUAUCCGGGAGACAGACUGCGGGUGCUAACGUCCGUAGUCAAGAGGAAAACAAUCCAGACCGCCAGCUAAGGCCCCAAAAUCAUAGUUAAGUGGGAAACGAUGUGGGAAGGCAUAGACAGCUAGGAGGUUGGCUUAGAAGCAGCCACCCUUUAAAGAAAGCGUAAUAGCUCACUAGUCGAGUCGGCCUGCGCGGAAGAUGUAACGGGGCUAAAACUAUGUGCCGAAGCUGCGGAUGUAUACUUUGUAUACGUGGUAGGGGAGCGUUCUGUAAGCCGAUGAAGGUGUGUUGAGAAGCAUGCUGGAGGUAUCAGAAGUGCGAAUGCUGACGUGAGUAACGACAAAACGGGUGAAAAACCCGUUCGCCGAAAGACCAAGGGUUCCAGUCCAACGUUAAUCGGGGCUGGGUGAGUCGACCCCUAAGGCGAGGCCGAAAGGCGUAGUCGAUGGGAAAAUGGUUAAUAUUCCAUUACUUCUGUGUAAUGCGAUGAGAGGACGGAGAAGGCUAAAUCAGCCUGGCGUUGGUUGUCCAGGUGAAAGGAUGUAGGCAUGUAUCUUAGGCAAAUCCGGGGUACUCUAUGCUGAGAUCUGAUAGCAAGCUGUACUUGUACAGCGAAGUGGUUGAUGCCAUGCUUCCAGGAAAAGUCUCUAAGCUUCAGUUACACAGGAAUCGUACCCGAAACCGACACAGGUGGUCAGGUCGAGUAGACCAAGGCGCUUGAGAGAACUCUGCUGAAGGAACUAGGCAAAAUGGUACCGUAACUUCGGGAGAAGGUACGCUGUUGUUGGUGAUGGAACUCGCUUCCUGAGCUGACGACAGCCGCAGAAACCAGGCCGCUGCAACUGUUUAUUAAAAACAUAGCACUCUGCAAACACGAAAGUGGACGUAUAGGGUGUGAUGCCUGCCCGGUGCUGGAAGGUUAAUUGAUGGGGUUAGCGUAAGCGAAGCUCUUGAUCGAAGCCCCAGUAAACGGCGGCCGUAACUAUAACGGUCCUAAGGUAGCGAAAUUCCUUGUCGGGUAAGUUCCGACCUGCACGAAUGGCAUAAUGAUGGCGGCGCUGUCUCCAGCAGAGGCUCAGUGAAAUCGAAAUCGCUGUGAAGAUGCAGUGUACCCGCGGCUAGACGGAAAGACCCCGUGAACCUUUACUGCAGCUUGACACUGAACUUUGACCUUACUUGUGUAGGAUAGGUGGGAGGCUUUGAAGCUGGAACGCUAGUUCCAGUGGAGCCGUCCUUGAAAUACCACCCUGGUAAUGUUGAGGUUCUAACUCUGUCCCGUGAUCCGGGACGAGGACCGUGUCUGGUGGGUAGUUUGACUGGGGCGGUCUCCUCCUAAAGAGUAACGGAGGAGUACGAAGGUGCGCUCAGCGUGGUCGGAAAUCACGCGUAGAGUAUAAAGGCAAAAGCGCGCUUAACUGCGAGACCCACAAGUCGAGCAGGUACGAAAGUAGGUCUUAGUGAUCCGGUGGUUCUGUAUGGAAGGGCCAUCGCUCAACGGAUAAAAGGUACUCUGGGGAUAACAGGCUGAUACCGCCCAAGAGUUCAUAUCGACGGCGGUGUUUGGCACCUCGAUGUCGGCUCAUCUCAUCCUGGGGGUGAAGCAGGUCCCAAGGGUAUGGCUGUUCGCCAUUUAAAGAGGUACGCGAGCUGGGUUUAGAACGUCGUGAGACAGUUCGGUCCCUAUCUACCGUGGGCGCUGGAAAUUUGAGAGGAUCUGCUCCUAGUACGAGAGGACCAGAGUGGACGAACCUCUGGUGUACCGGUUGUGACGCCAGUCGCAUCGCCGGGUAGCUAUGUUCGGAAGGGAUAACCGCUGAAAGCAUCUAAGCGGGAAGCCUACCUCAAGAUAAGAUUUCCCUAGGACUUUAUGUCCUCUAAAGAGCCGUUCGAGACUAGGACGUUGAUAGGUUGGAUGUGGAAGCAUAGUGAUAUGUGAAGCUGACCAAUACUAAUUGCUCGUGAGGCUUGACUA
This 2889-nucleotide ribosomal RNA is filed under the name Acinetobacter baumannii 44857_10. Its description in RNAcentral is "bacterial LSU rRNA". It matches the Rfam family "Bacterial large subunit ribosomal RNA". The record is from RNAcentral. Lineage: Bacteria; Pseudomonadati; Pseudomonadota; Gammaproteobacteria; Moraxellales; Moraxellaceae.